RNAcentral lists this ribosomal RNA (750 nucleotides) under uncultured bacterium. RNAcentral's name for it is "bacterial SSU rRNA". It matches the Rfam family "Bacterial small subunit ribosomal RNA", at positions 26 to 749 of the family's 1533-position model. The record is from RNAcentral.
AGAACGAACGCUGGCGGCGUGCUUAACACAUGCAAGUCGAACGCGAAAGUACCGCUUCGGUGGUACAAGUAGAGUGGCGCACGGGUGAGUAACGCGUAGGUAAUCUACCCUUAUAUUUGGGAUAACAUACCGAAAGGUCUGCUAAUACCGGAUACGCUUAAUUAUACGCGAGUAUGAUUAAGGAAAGGUAACCACUGAUAUAAGUUAUCGUAUAAGGAUGAGCCUGCGUACCAUUAGCUUGUUGGUGGGGUAACGGCCUACCAAGGCAACGAUGGUUAGCGGGUCUGAGAGGAUGAUCCGCCACACUGGAACUGGAACACGGACCAGACUCCUACGGGAGGCAGCAGUGAGGAAUAUUGCGCAAUGGGGGAAACCCUGACGCAGCGACGCCGCGUGGGUGAUGAAGGCUUUCGGGUCGUAAAGCCCUGUCAAGUGGGAAGAAGUGCAUAUAGGUAAAUAGUCUGUAUGUUUGACGGUACCACUAGAGGAAGCACCGGCUAACUCCGUGCCAGCAGCCGCGGUAAUACGGAGGGUGCGAGCGUUGUUCGGAAUUACUGGGCGUAAAGGGCGCGUAGGCGGCUAUGUAAGUCGGAUGUGAAAGCCCACGGCUCAACCGUGGAAGAGCAUCUGAAACUGUAUGGCUUGAGUAUGGGAGGGGAAAGUGGAAUUCCCGGUGUAGAGGUGAAAUUCGUAGAGAUCGGGAGGAACACCUGUGGCGAAGGCGACUUUCUGGACCAAUACUGACGCUGA